AGGCUUGUAGCUCAGGUGGUUAGAGCGCACCCCUGAUAAGGGUGAGGUCGGUGGUUCAAGUCCACUCAGGCCU
Molecule: transfer RNA, 73 nt
Filed under: Klebsiella aerogenes
Lineage: Bacteria; Pseudomonadati; Pseudomonadota; Gammaproteobacteria; Enterobacterales; Enterobacteriaceae
Also listed under: 63 other names
Description: tRNA-Ile
Rfam family: tRNA
About the family: Transfer RNA (tRNA) molecules are approximately 80 nucleotides in length.
Source: RNAcentral